UCAAACUCAAAGUGGUCAGUCUUUCCAACGAGUAAAUUUUGUGAAAGAUCACCAAGUUAAAAAAAACAUAAGAGGAGGUAUUCACGGCUUCACACACAUCACAUGUUGAUCAAUAUAAUUGGCAUGUCGAUAGUGCGUGUACAAGGCACAUGGCGAUUGAUGAAAAUCUGUUUGUUAGAUUGGACAGGUCUGAUAGGACCAAAGUGAAGCUUGGAGAUGGUGCACUAGUGCAAGCUCGAGGAU
Molecule: long non-coding RNA, 243 nt
Filed under: Capsicum annuum
Lineage: Eukaryota; Viridiplantae; Streptophyta; Magnoliopsida; Solanales; Solanaceae
Description: long non-coding RNA (CANN_LNC011433)
Source: RNAcentral